Long non-coding RNA from Ixodes scapularis (black-legged tick), 313 nucleotides. RefSeq lists it as uncharacterized. Lineage: Eukaryota; Metazoa; Arthropoda; Arachnida; Ixodida; Ixodidae. The record is from RefSeq and is a predicted model, not a curated record. The transcript has 3 exons.
GGUACGCCCACGCAAUGAGAAAAUAUCUCAACAAGACCGACAUCGUCCGGUGGUAUGACGGUUUUGCCAUCCUCAACAAUUACCUGAGGGAUGAGUUGGCAGAUGAGAUCUACGGCAGGUUUAACCUAAAUACAAAGGGAGGCGGACGUGGCAGGCAUCAGCACGCAUAACUCGACUGGAAAUCUAAACGACAUAAAUAAAUGGAAAGCUGAUUGGCAUUCUCCCCCUAAUCCUAUUGAGAACAUGAAGUCAAUAUUGAGAACCUUCCCAGAGUACAAGAAGGCGGUGGACGGCAGGCCUCUCUGCUUCUCCG